Molecule: long non-coding RNA, 2036 nt
Organism: Homo sapiens (human)
Lineage: Eukaryota; Metazoa; Chordata; Mammalia; Primates; Hominidae
Source: Ensembl
GUUCUUCAUGUUCCGCUAUUUCUAGCUGUUGGCCCUACUCGUUUCUGUGCCUAAAUGCCCUACCUCCCACUCCUUUUCUGAGAAAGAUCUUCUGCCCUGUCAGUUAUGAAGUAAAGAUGUCCUAAGAUUCCUGCUCUUUCUUUUUUCUUUCUUUCUUUCUCUCUCUUUUUUUUUUUUUUCGACGGAGUUUCGCUCUUGUUGCCUGGAGUGCAAUGGCUGGAGUGCAAUGGCGCGAUCUCAGCUCACUGCAGCCUCUGCCACCUAGGCCCACCUUGGUCUCCCCAAGUGCUGGCAUUACAGGUGUGAGCCACUGUGCCCGGCCUCCUGCUCUUCUUUCAACCCUCUGCUCAGCAUCUUAGGCCUCAUUGGUGAUGUCCCACCUUGCUAGGUAGCAUCUUUCCUGAAUAUUUCUCCACUAAACAUUCUGAUGUUGGCUAGAUGGCCUAGUUAAUCUACACAUUUCAUUUUAUCACCUUCUCCAGAUGUUUUUUUGUGUAUGUCAGCUGAUACACUCUGGGGAGAAUGCCUUAAUAUAUGGGAAUAAUUAACUCAUGGCCAAGAAGGAAAUAACCAAGGGGACUUUUACUCUGGACCUAAUUCAAACCAAAGAGACAGAGCCUGAGAGAAAGCAGCUCUGUCAUCCUUGAGUUAGUAACAUCCAGGAAGGGAAGGCUAGGGUGGGGGAGUGAGUAAAACAGAUGGCAUUUAGGGAAGAACCAACAGGACUUUAAGAGGCAUGGCAGAGGGGCUUUGAUCCUGGCUAAACCAUCAGGGAAGGCAAUUGGAGCUGGGUGAACAGAUGGGGUCUUAUUACUGAAGAGAAAACGGUAAGGAGGCAGGGGGAAAUGGGACGUGUGCUAAAGCAGAGUGCCUCAUUCAGUGGAUGCAGUGAGAGCAGAGGCUGUUGGAAAAGUGGAUCAGGGAGGACCAUGCCACCAGGUGGGCAUCAGCAGAGUAUCACCCGAGUAUUGCAGAGGGAUACCAAAUAAGUCCACCUGAAGCCAGAGCUGAAACCCUGUGGAGGUCCGUUUACCCCUUCAGAAGUAGUGUACCACCAUCCAUCUACCACUGGAAUCCAAUUUCAGUUUUGGCAAAUUGUUAUAAAUAGGAAAAAGUCAGGGUUCCACAAUUCUGGCAGCACCCAGAGACUAUAACAGCAUCUGCACAGCCAAGUAGAGUUAGGAAACCUGGAUCCUAAUCCUGACUUUGCCUCUGAUUAGAUGUGUGAUCCUGGGCUGGAGCUGUUUUUUCAGUUGUAAAAUGCUGUUUAUUGGUGUUAGGUAGCAGCUAAUAAGGCUGGAGGUGGGGCUGGGUGUAGUGGCUCACACAUGUAAUCUCAGCAGUUUGACAGGCCAAGGCAGGAGGAUUGCUGGAGGCCAGGGAUUUGAGACCAGCUUGGGCUACAUAGUGAGACUCUGCCUGUACUAAAAAUUAAAAAAAAAAAAAAUAACUCAGUGCAGUGGCGCAUGCCUGUAGUCCCAGCUACUCAGGAGGUUGGGGUGGGAGGGUUGCUUGAGCCCAGGAGUUUGAGGCUGCAGUGAACUAUGAUCAAUCACACCACUGCAUUCUAGUAGCCUGAGUGACAGAGCAAGACCUGUCUCUAAAAAAAAAGAAAUUUUUUUUAAGGGUGGAGGUAGGGAAAUUCAAAGCUACUUACUAGCUGUGUGACCUUGCCUAAACUACCUCCUUGGAUUUGCAGUCUGUUUAUUUGAAAAUGUCAUAAGGGAUAAAUGAGAUUCCUUAUGUAAAGUACUUUAUAAAUAUUAAGCACUUACCAAAUGUUAGUCUGUUUUCACAUUAUUCUUCUUGGAUUACCAGAAAUUGGUUUGACCAUGAAUAAACAGGAGAUAAUUUCUUGGGUAAUCUGAGUUUGAAUCCCCUUUCUCUCUCUUACUAAUUGUAUGACUUUGAUUAGGUUAUUUAAUAUUUAAUUGUUCUGGGUCUCAGUUUUCUCAUUUGUGAAAUUAAAAUGUGUUCUUCAGAAUUGUGAGGGUUAAAUGUGAUAAAAGGCCUGACUCAUAUGAGAAAAUGCUCAA